Molecule: ribosomal RNA, 500 nt
Filed under: uncultured bacterium
Lineage: Bacteria
Description: partial 16S ribosomal RNA
Rfam family: Bacterial small subunit ribosomal RNA
Source: RNAcentral
AUUGAACGCUGGCGGCAUGCCUUACACAUGCAAGUCGAACGGCAGCACGGGGGCAACCCUGGUGGCGAGUGGCGAACGGGUGAGUAAUACAUCGGAACGUGCCCAGUCGUGGGGGAUAACGUAGCGAAAGCUACGCUAAUACCGCAUACGAUCUCCGAAUGAAAGCGGGGGACCGCAAGGCCUCGCGCGGUUGGAGCGGCCGAUGGCAGAUUAGGCAGUUGGUGGGGUAAAAGCUUACCAAGCCUCCGAUCUGUAGCUGGUCUGAGAGGACGAUCAGCCACACUGGGACUGAGACACGGCCCAGACUCCUACGGGAGGCAGCAGUGGGGAAUUUUGGACAAUGGGCGCAAGCCUGAUCCAGCAAUGCCGCGUGCAGGACGAAGGCCUUCGGGUUGUAAACUGCUUUUGUACGGAGCGAAACGGCUUCCACUAAUACUGGGGGCUAAUGACGGUACCGUAAGAAUAAGCACCGGCUAACUACGUGCCAGCCGCCGCGGUAA